RNAcentral lists this ribosomal RNA (1107 nucleotides) under Krasilnikoviella sp. Its description in RNAcentral is "bacterial SSU rRNA". It matches the Rfam family "Bacterial small subunit ribosomal RNA", at positions 117 to 1238 of the family's 1533-position model. The record is from RNAcentral. Lineage: Bacteria; Bacillati; Actinomycetota; Actinomycetes; Micrococcales; Promicromonosporaceae.
GUGAGCAACCUGCCCUCCACUUCGGGAUAAGCCUUGGAAACGGGGUCUAAUACCGGAUAUGAGCACUCAUCGCAUGGUGGGUGUUGGAAAGUUUUUCGGUGGGGGAUGGGCUCGCGGCCUAUCAGCUUGUUGGUGGGGUGAUGGCCUACCAAGGCGUCGACGGGUAGCCGGCCUGAGAGGGCGACCGGCCACACUGGGACUGAGACACGGCCCAGACUCCUACGGGAGGCAGCAGUGGGGAAUAUUGCACAAUGGGCGCAAGCCUGAUGCAGCGACGCCGCGUGAGGGAUGACGGCCUUCGGGUUGUAAACCUCUUUCAGCAGGGAAGAAGCGCAAGUGACGGUACCUGCAGAAGAAGCGCCGGCUAACUACGUGCCAGCAGCCGCGGUAAUACGUAGGGCGCAAGCGUUGUCCGGAAUUAUUGGGCGUAAAGAGCUCGUAGGCGGUCUGUCGCGUCUGGUGUGAAAUCCCGAGGCUCAACCUCGGGCUUGCAUCGGGUACGGGCAGACUAGAGUGCGGUAGGGGAGACUGGAAUUCCUGGUGUAGCGGUGGAAUGCGCAGAUAUCAGGAGGAACACCGAUGGCGAAGGCAGGUCUCUGGGCCGCAACUGACGCUGAGGAGCGAAAGCAUGGGGAGCGAACAGGAUUAGAUACCCUGGUAGUCCAUGCCGUAAACGUUGGGCACUAGGUGUGGGGCUCAUUCCACGAGUUCCGUGCCGCAGCUAACGCAUUAAGUGCCCCGCCUGGGGAGUACGGCCGCAAGGCUAAAACUCAAAGGAAUUGACGGGGGCCCGCACAAGCGGCGGAGCAUGCGGAUUAAUUCGAUGCAACGCGAAGAACCUUACCAAGGCUUGACAUGUACGAGAACACGCUAGAGAUAGCGGACUCUUUGGACACUCGUAUACAGGUGGUGCAUGGUUGUCGUCAGCUCGUGUCGUGAGAUGUUGGGUUAAGUCCCGCAACGAGCGCAACCCUCGUCCUAUGUUGCCAGCGGGUUAUGCCGGGGACUCAUGGGAGACUGCCGGGGUCAACUCGGAGGAAGGUGGGGAUGACGUCAAAUCAUCAUGCCCCUUAUGUCUUGGGCUUCACGCAUGCUACAAUGGCCGGU